RNAcentral lists this ribosomal RNA (253 nucleotides) under uncultured bacterium. RNAcentral describes it as "partial 16S ribosomal RNA". It matches the Rfam family "Bacterial small subunit ribosomal RNA", at positions 524 to 776 of the family's 1533-position model. The record is from RNAcentral.
UACAGAGGGGGCCAGCGUUAUUCGGAAUUACUGGGCGUAAAGGGCUCGUAGGCGGCCAACUAAGUCAGACGUGAAAUCCCUCGGCUUAACCGGGGAACUGCAUCUGAUACUGGAUGGCUUGAGUUCGGGAGAGGGAUGUGGAAUUCCAGGUGUAGCGGUGAAAUGCGUAGAUAUCUGGAGGAACACCGGUGGCGAAGGCGGCAUCCUGGACCGACACUGACGCUGAGGAGCGAAAGCCAGGGGAGCAAACGGG